Molecule: long non-coding RNA, 218 nt
Filed under: Elaeis guineensis (African oil palm)
Lineage: Eukaryota; Viridiplantae; Streptophyta; Magnoliopsida; Arecales; Arecaceae
Description: long non-coding RNA (EGUI_LNC012797)
Source: RNAcentral
CCUGGAGAGUCAUUUUUAAAAUAAAAUAUUUUCAAAAUUUUGAAAUCAUAAUUAAUAUUAUCUAAGUAGAAGAAUAUGAGAAUUUUUUUAAUUAUGAGCUGUCAUUAAUUAUUUAUUGAUUUUAUUUUAUUUAUUAAAGAUGGAUUGAUUAUGUGAUCCAGAUUGAUGAACAUGUAUAUAAGUCUAAUGUUGUUAAUGAUCCUUGUGUCUUGGACUAU